Molecule: ribosomal RNA, 471 nt
Filed under: Onchocerca sp. type A
Lineage: Eukaryota; Metazoa; Nematoda; Chromadorea; Rhabditida; Onchocercidae
Also listed under: 1 other name
Description: partial 12S ribosomal RNA
Source: RNAcentral
UACGUUUUGAUUUUUAACUCUAUUUGUUGUAGUAUCUUAAACUUUUAUAUAUUUUUUACUUUAUUUUUUGUAAAAUGUUUUAAUUUGAUUUUGUUUUUUUAAGAUAUUAAAAAUUUGGUUUUUGAACUGGAUUAGUACCCAGGUAAUCAAAGUUUAUUAAUUCGGGAGUAAAGUUUUGUUUAAACCGAAAAAAUAUUGACUGACCUUAGAUUUUUCUUUGGAAUAUGUGUUUUGCUGGAGAGCCCUCUUUUUUGGUGAAUUUUGUUGGCACAUGUAUGAUUGUUUAGUUUUUAUUUUAUUUUGUAAUGCUUUUUGUGUUGGCAUUUAAAACAGAUAUAUACUUGGCUUAUAAAUUUAUUUUUCAUGUGUUACUAUUAUAAAUUUUUUUUGGAUUAAUUUUUUAUUUUUUUUUUGAAAUUGGAAAAGAAAGUAAUUUUUUCUUAAUGUUUUGAUGAAUUUAAUAAAUAAGGU